UCAUUUUAAAACGUAGUUUUUAAAUAAAACAAAAUAUCGGAUAUCGGAAAAGAAAAAUUGAUAUGCCAUUUCAAUAUUGAUGAUGAUAAUAAUCACUUUGCGUCCAGCUCAGCUGCCAUAAAAUAGGAAUGAAUUAAUCAUUUCCGGUUGUAUUUCAGACAAGAAAACUAUACAUUUUAUUUGUUUGGGUGUAAUUUCUCCGUUUGUUUACUAAUUCACGCUCAGCUCAGGAUUGAAGUGGACAUACCGCUAAAACUUCCGGGUUUGUUUAAGCCACGCCUCCUUAUGUAAAUGAGGACUUGACGUUGAGCACGUGACUCGAACGAGUAUAAAUGCCGCCGUAACCAUCCAUCAUGUAGACUUUGUUUAGUUGCUUUCAUUUUCACUUUUGUCGUCUCAGCAUGACGAGCUGUCACUCAGCCCGGACACCUGUGUGUUUUAUUCUGUAUUUUAUUAUUCGCUGCUCUACUCUGUCCGGUCACGCGGACGCCGCUCCCAGCGCUGUGGAGGAGAGCGUGAACACCAGAGUCCACGCGCGAGAGCGGUCCGGUUUACCCGGGUUUGACCCGGGAGAUCCUGCUCCACAUUUCCAGGUUCAAACCCUAGACGGGGAGUUUGUUUAUCCUCUCAAGGAGGCGUCCAACUCCUCCGUGAUCAUCCACGCGUUCACGAAUAAAUCCGCUUUCCUGGAGUGUCUCUGGACGUCCAACUCCUCCGUGUCCGAUCUGAUUGAGUUCCUUCCGGUCGGUGCUGAAAUCCUCUUCCUGUCUCUGGAUGAUUCCGCGGCUCAGGAUGUGCUGUGGAUGAGAGAGCAGGUUUACAGGGUCGCCUCCGCCGCAGCGCACAGGGGUAAGGAAAUUUUAUCCAGGCUUCAUUUCUCCCCCAUCCCUGUCUACGCCUUGGGGAACUGGAUACCCAGAGUGCUCUACUCGUGGGGAUGCGGCGGACACAACUGCGGUUUGCCACAAGCGGUGUUCACCGGUCCAGAAUGGAAAGUUCCGGUGAUCACGAAGCGCCUGAACGCCAGGUACGACUGGCUGAAUGGCCGCUGGGAAAAUAAGCAGUACGUCGUGGUCGGUGCGGGUGACGGCUGCGAGCCCUUUCCUGCGGCCGCCGGAGCCGUGGCCUGGGUUUCUGAAAGCGGCUGCUCGUUUUUCACUAAGAUUAAAGCCAUGGCAGAUUCCAAAGCAGUAGGUGUGCUGGUUCACACGUUACCUGGCAACCCGAUCCAGGACAUGAACUGUGCUGGAGAUGAGUGUAACACCACCCUGAACAUUCCUGCUUCCAUGCUGCACUUCGAGCCUGCUGUGGCUCAGGCGCUAUCAUCAGGGAAGCCGGUGAACGUCACGUUCCAGCUCACUCCAUCACCCAACUUUUUUAUUGCGAUUGACCAGCAGGGGGCGCUGGCGGAAAUGGGCUGGUUCCUCUAUCCUUCAUUCCGGUUCUUAAGCUGGCAGGCAGAGUGGUUUGACUUCAACGCCGCCUUGCUGGCUCGUGUCAAGCGUCCUGCGGCUGUCGUUCCUGUGUUUAAUCACACGCUGAUGCAGGGAGAGGCAGGAGCUCGGGCCUUGGUGAAGCUUCCCAGAGACUUGUUGGGGUUCGACGUGCUGGAGCUGGACGCGGCGUUGUCCUGCCCGGGCCGCAGGGACGAGACGUGCGCUCACUGGGAUCACACGGUGCAGCUGUUCAUCUGCUGCGAUCAGUUCGGUCCUUACUGUAACAUGGAGCUCGGCCGCUGGAUCACCGCCUUCCGCAGAGGAACGGGCCGCUGGCUGACGGACGUGUCUCCGCUCCUCCCUCUGCUGAACAGCGAGCGCUGUGAUCUGGUCAUGAAGACGCCGCCCUGGGCCAUGCCCUGGAUCACAUCCCUCAACUUGCGCUUCAGCCACAGCGGGCGCUCGGGAAAAUCCCCUGAGAAGCUUUACCCCUUCAAGCUGACGUUUCUGUACAAGGGCGGGACCUUCGACAGGGAUUACAACUCCAGAUUUAAGGAGAUCAAGUUCACGGUCCCACCUUCAACGAAAAAGAUUCGUUCCCCCUUCUGCUGUUAUAAUGCGCUCCACUCUUCUGGGAAGGCUUUCUACUAGAUUUCGGGGCGUGGCCGUGGGGGUUCGGGUUCGUUCACAAAUGAACGAGAGCGCUAGUGAGGUCGAGGUCAGGUGCUGACGUUGAUGUUAGGAGACUCCAGUUCCGGUUCAUCCCGAAGGUGUUCAGUAGGGUUGAGGUCAGGGAUCCGUACAGGACGCUCGAGUUCUUCUACCUUCUUCCAGUCUUCACACAUCACGUCUUCACGGAGCUGGCUUUGUGCACAGGAGCAUUGUCGUGCUGGCGGAACAGGUGGAGCUGUACGCCGUGAUCACGGGCCACGGCAGCGAUGAUAACAACUGCGGCGAAUUCUGCGUGACGUCGCACUUCUUCCUCGUCAACGCCGCCCACAACAAUUCACUCACCUUCGACUCCGCUGGCG
RNA transcript from Ictalurus punctatus (channel catfish), 2467 nucleotides. RefSeq lists it as uncharacterized. Lineage: Eukaryota; Metazoa; Chordata; Actinopteri; Siluriformes; Ictaluridae. The record is from RefSeq and is a predicted model, not a curated record. The transcript has 11 exons.